GUUUACAUAAUUCAUAUAGAAUAUUGCGUUGAAGCCGCAAAAGAGACAGUUUAUGUCUGUAAACA
This 65-nucleotide transfer RNA is filed under the name Grapsus albolineatus. RNAcentral describes it as "tRNA-Phe". Lineage: Eukaryota; Metazoa; Arthropoda; Malacostraca; Decapoda; Grapsidae. The record is from RNAcentral.